Molecule: ribosomal RNA, 460 nt
Filed under: uncultured bacterium
Lineage: Bacteria
Description: partial 16S ribosomal RNA
Rfam family: Bacterial small subunit ribosomal RNA
Source: RNAcentral
CCUACGGGGGGCAGCAGUGAGGAAUAUUGGUCAAUGGAGGCGACUCUGAACCAGCCAAGUAGCGUGAAGGAUGACGGCCCUAUGGGUUGUAAACUUCUUUUAUAUGGGAAUAAAAUGUUCCACGUGUGGGUUUUUGUAUGUACCGUAUGAAUAAGGACCGGCUAAUUCCGUGCCAGCAGCCGCGGUAAUACGGAGGAUCCGGGCAUUAUCCGGAUUUAUUGGGUUUAAAGGGAGCGCAGGGGGCUUGUUAAGUGAGUUGUGAAAGUUUGCGGCUCAACCGUAAAAUUGCAGUUGAAACUGGGAGUCUUGAGUACAGUAGAGGUGGGCGGAAUUCGUGGUGUAGCGGUGAAAUGCUUAGAUAUCACGAAGAACUCCGAUUGCGAAGGCAGCUCACCGGACUGCAACUGACACUGAGGCUCGAAAGUGUGGGUAUCAAACAGGAUUAGAUACCCGUGUAGUC